Molecule: ribosomal RNA, 497 nt
Filed under: uncultured bacterium
Lineage: Bacteria
Description: bacterial SSU rRNA
Rfam family: Bacterial small subunit ribosomal RNA
Source: RNAcentral
GACGAACGCUGGCGGCGUGGAUUAGGCAUGCAAGUCGAACGGUAUCAUCCUUUCGGGGGGUGAGAGAGUGGCGAACUGGUGAGUAACACGUAGGUUAUCUACCCUCAAGACGGGGACAACCCAGGGAAACUUGGGCUAAUACCGGAUGUGAGCAACUUUUAGUUGUUUGAAAGGUGGCGUAAGCUGUCGCUUGGGGAUGAGCCUGCGUCCUAUUAGUUAGUUGGUGAGGUAAAGGCUCACCAAGGCGACGAUCUGUAGCGGGUCUGAGAGGAUGAUCCGCCACACUGGAACUGAGACACGGUCCAGACUCCUACGGGAGGCAGCAGUGGGGAAUAGUCUACAAUGGUCGGAAGACUGAUAGUGCGACGCCGCGUGAACGAUGAACUCCCUUCGGGGUGUAAAGUUCUUUUAUAUGUGAGCAGUGACAUCUAUAUUAAUAGUAUGGGUUAGAGAUAUUAGCAUAUGAAAUAAGCAACGGCUAACUCCGUGCCAGCACG